GAUGAACGCUGGCGGCGUGCCUAAUACAUGCAAGUCGAGCGAACAGACGAUGAGCUUGCUCCUCUGACGUUAGCGGCGGACGGGUGAGUAACACGUGGAUAACCUACCUCUAAUACUGGGAUAACUUCGGGAAACCGGAUCUAAUACCGGAUAAUAUAUUGAACCGCAUGGUUCAAUAGUGAAAGACGGUUUUGCUGUCACUUAUAGAUGGAUCCGCGCCGCAUUAGCUAGUUGGUAAGGUAACGGCUUACCAAGGCGACGAUGCGUAGCCGACCUGAGAGGGUGAUCGGCCACACUGGAACUGAGACACGGUCCAGACUCCUACGGGAGGCAGCAGUAGGGAAUCUUCCGCAAUGGGCGAAAGCCUGACGGAGCAACGCCGCGUGAGUGAUGAAGGUCUUCGGAUCGUAAAACUCUGUUAUUAGGGAAGAACAAAUGUGUAAGUAACUAUGCACGUCUUGACGGUACCUAAUCAGAAAGCCACGGCUAACUACGUG
This 497-nucleotide ribosomal RNA is filed under the name uncultured bacterium. RNAcentral's name for it is "partial 16S ribosomal RNA". It matches the Rfam family "Bacterial small subunit ribosomal RNA", at positions 28 to 507 of the family's 1533-position model. The record is from RNAcentral.